Molecule: small nucleolar RNA, 98 nt
Filed under: Spathaspora passalidarum NRRL Y-27907
Lineage: Eukaryota; Fungi; Ascomycota; Pichiomycetes; Serinales; Debaryomycetaceae
Description: Small nucleolar RNA SNORD18
Rfam family: Small nucleolar RNA SNORD18
About the family: U18 is a member of the C/D class of snoRNA which contain the C (UGAUGA) and D (CUGA) box motifs.
Source: Rfam by way of RNAcentral
UUAGAAUGAUGAACUUAAUCUUUGGUCCGUGUUUAUGAGGUGGACUCAAGACCCACCGCGUGAGUGACAAAGGAGAUUUAAAUCUAUUUGCUGACAAA